UUCAGCUGGACUAACGGGUCCAUGGCAGAAGGCCAGGGCAAGGAAUGCCCAGCUGAUGGCUCAGAGAGUGCUCAGCCUGCUCCCUGCAAUGAGGCUCAGCAGGCAGAGUCAAAGGAGAUGGCGAAGGAAAAUGAAGACCCCGGCACAGACUCGCUGUUGGACACCUCUCAAGACAAGUCCUUCUCAGAGGAGCCAGCCACUGACUCCUCGUGUUCAGCAACACUUCCCCCAGAGCAAACUCACAGCGACAGGGAAAAGCAGAGGCCCUCUGGGAAACGGAAGAAGAAGAAGAGGCACAGCAAAGGUUACUCAGAGGUUGAGACUGAUACUGGAGAUAAUAAAACAAAAAAAGAUUGUGUGGCACAAUGAGGUGUCACGGCAAGGCAGAAGGUGUAAGAGAACCUCUCGUGUGUCACUGGAGUGCUGCCAGCUGCUGAGACUCCAGGGUCUGCAUCAAAGAAACGCCAUCAUAGACACCUUCUGCCCCACCAAGACCCACUGCUUCUCCUCGUGCAGCCUUUCACUCCCCUCCCCAGGACCUAAAGAGCCUCCCCAGAGACUUUGGACCCCUCAGCCUGUGCCUUGCACUGGGCACCUGUGGGGACAGGGGACGGUUCUGUGCACAGCAGCAGUGAAAGGGUCAGACCUGCCAUCUGCUCUCCUGAAGCUGAGUCUUUGAACCUGCUCUUGGGCCAAACUCCUCUUGAAAUGACAGCUGAGUGUGGCCCAAGAACAGACUGCAGUGUUUAGCCCUCGGAGAAGUGUUAAAAACAGCAGUGCCUCAACUAAAUCAAGGGUAUAAAUUAAGCAGUGGCUGUAUCAUCACGGGUGGAAGUGUGUUAACUCCCUCUUCUCAUCACCCACUGACACUUUCUAUUGGACCAAGUCCAAGACCCAGAUUAGACAAAUGUAUUUUUACUCCCAAUCACUUUAAGCAAGGGAAAUCGGUUACAGGGAAAAAGCAGAAGAAAAAAG
RNAcentral lists this long non-coding RNA (975 nucleotides) under Malurus cyaneus samueli. Its description in RNAcentral is "lncRNA (ENSMCSG00000009515.1)". The record is from RNAcentral. Lineage: Eukaryota; Metazoa; Chordata; Aves; Passeriformes; Maluridae.